GCUCUUUGCAUCAGCUGCAGAGCUCAAUGGCACACUUGUUGACAGCAUUGGCACUGAAAAUGGCGAACUUUGGGCAAGGUUGUUGUUAUUAGGAACAACAGGAAACAAGGGCUGAGACACGGGAACAGGUGAGUUAGAUGCAGGGAGGCCUGGAGGACUGACAAGUGUUGGUGGUGCAAUAGCUGGCAUUGGAGGCCUCACAUUUUGCACAGGAAAUAAUGGUUGUUGCGGCAGACCCAUUGGUGCAGGAGGUGGAACCGAGACAGCAGGAUAUUGUGGAUACCAAGGUUGGGGCCGAGGGGGGACUGGCCAACCAGCAGGAGGCAUUGGCACAGCAGGAUUAUAGCUGCACAAACAGGCCAGAUCCAUGUAAGAUUUAUUUACCUAUUGGAGCUGCUGAUUCAAAGUUAAUAAAUCCAAAGCAUGCCAAUAAACAACAGAAUGUAGAAGAAAAGGUUAACAAAAAGAUAAAAAUGUCAAGGCUAAAAUUUCCCCUAUUAUCUUUUUUAUUUUGUGGCGACAGUCUCCUCGACUAGUCCACCGAGUAGCCAGUUAGAGCUCACAAGCAUAAGUGCUGCCGUGCCAGUUCAUAUCAGUGUUGUAGUUGGGAUUCAAACAUGGAAUUUCAAGAUUGUUACUGCUAUCCCUCAACUACUCAGCCAUCCCUUGGAGACAUAAUUCUGUUUUAUCAAUAUGCGAGAAGGCUAACUAUAACAAGGAAGAAAUGGGUCAACUUUAAUACUGAAACCCAUGCUGCUGGACACCUGAAAAACUAGCGCUAGAAUUCUUUACAGACCAAUUGUUGACAAAAUUUAGGUAUGCCACACCAUCAGUCAUAACUAUAACAAAGUCAGAGCUGGGAUAUACUAUAUUAAAGGGCUAGAUUCCUAAUCUCAUAUAUUCAUUAUUCUGCUCGUUUGACCAAGUAAUACUGAUCCUAACAUAGGAAUCUUUCAGAAGAAAUCAAGAAAUAUUAGGUAAUCCUAGAAUAGAAAUACAAAGCAAGACCCCCCCCCCCCCCGGAUCCUUGUAGUCCUCAAAAAGACCAGAAUCAACUAUAUAGGAACUAAAGUUUAGUACAAGAGACUUCUGCUAAAUCACUGUCCCGGAUGGGCUCCAUAUUGGAAUAUUCUUAAGUCUAUCUUCUUAAAAAGAAAUAGUUGGUGACUUGGUUCUCUUAUUUUGUAUUGAUGGCUGUGUUACUAGUCAAAAUUGUAAAAGUUUUCCUUUUUCAAGAUGUAUGAAUUUUUCUUUGCAUUUAUUCCGUCUUACACACAAACUUAUUCAAGGAAUAUACUCCUUGAUACUGAUAAACGGACACGAAUGACAGAUUCCAUCUUAAACAAAACUUAUUCAAGGAGAACAUAUGCUUUGAUAGAAAAAAUAAAAAUGAAUUGACUCCAGACUUCAAGAACAAAUGAAGAGAUCAUGUCUCGCAACUUAUGGGGUUAUAUUUUCUCACAAAUCCCAAAUAUCGGAAGUGUUUUCUUUGUGAAAAGUAAACUCGUGCAACAUCAUAUGAAAAGGAAAGUAUCCUAAUGUAUUCAAGCACAAGGAAUUCUGAACGCAUAAAAAAAGCAUUUCCACAACUAACAUACAGUGGUGGCAUUGCACCAAAAGGUGCCCGGGGAGGGUAUCCUGGAAUUGCACCACCAACAUACUGGGAUGACGGAAUGUCCACUUUGGCAGUUUUUGCUGGGGCCU
Molecule: long non-coding RNA, 1704 nt
Filed under: Nicotiana tabacum (common tobacco)
Lineage: Eukaryota; Viridiplantae; Streptophyta; Magnoliopsida; Solanales; Solanaceae
Description: long non-coding RNA (NTAB_LNC018141)
Source: RNAcentral